This is a long non-coding RNA of Oncorhynchus tshawytscha (Chinook salmon), 143 nucleotides long. RefSeq lists it as uncharacterized. The record is from RefSeq and is a predicted model, not a curated record. The transcript is spliced from 3 exons. Lineage: Eukaryota; Metazoa; Chordata; Actinopteri; Salmoniformes; Salmonidae.
UCAAGAUGAAAACCUUCAUUCUGAUCGCCUGCAUCCUGGGGAUUGCUCUUGGCCGCCCUCAAAGGCUGGUCAUGGAGUUUGACUUCCAGGCUGCCAACGCUCAGGCUCUCCAAGCUGGACAAGCCAGACCUGAUCUAGAGAUU